This is a long non-coding RNA of Lutra lutra (Eurasian river otter), 719 nucleotides long. RefSeq lists it as uncharacterized. Lineage: Eukaryota; Metazoa; Chordata; Mammalia; Carnivora; Mustelidae. The transcript is spliced from 4 exons. The record is from RefSeq and is a predicted model, not a curated record.
GAGGUAGUUGCGUGGGUUAGGCGCUCCGCGGUUUCCUGGAGGCACCUCCGGGAGCGUGCACCGUUGGAAGGGAGCCACAGGAAGCUAAAGGCACAGGCUCCCCACAAGGCUUCUGCUUCAUGCCUCCAUUUUACAGACAAGGAAACUGAUCCAAGGAAGCGGUGGGAAGUGACCAAAGCUGCAUUUCUGAAUUCUGGCACCUGGGACCAGAUCCGGCUCUUAGUGGCAUGGUUUAGGUGCUCCUUUGGCAAGUCAGGCACAAGAAGGAGAAGUGGAUUUACGUGAAUGAGAAGGAAUGGUGGUUAAGCACAUUGGAGGAGUCUGGGAUUGUAGAUCACCAGAGAUGAAGAUCAUCUGGGACAGCGCCCUCAUGCUAGUGAAGGAGCCUUGAAACACUAUAAAAGCUCCAGCUCUGACAAGGAAGCAAGAAAUACACCUCUGCCUCGACAGGAGCAAUGUGUGUGACAUGAAGGACCUCAGGUGCUACGCUGGUUUUUGACAGUUCCUCAGAAGAAAGCACUUCCUGCCUGUUAUAGUCAGUCCCAGUCCAGCUCGUCAAAAGCCAGUCCACACCUUGCCCCCUCUUUGUACACUCACAGCCGCCACCGUGCUUCCCAUUCAACAGUGGGUGAAUAAACAAAGGGAGGAGUGGACAGGACAGAGAAAGGGUUCUCCUACCCAAAGGUUGCCUCGACAAAGGAACUAUAAAGGGAAGAGCU